UCUCUCAUUCUUGAAAUUCCAAGUUUCUCUUUAGUUCCAUCUUCCUUUCCUCUAAAGAACUUUCUGUAGCAUUUUCUUUUCAUAUCGGAAGAGACACGU
Molecule: long non-coding RNA, 99 nt
Organism: Lynx canadensis (Canada lynx)
Lineage: Eukaryota; Metazoa; Chordata; Mammalia; Carnivora; Felidae
Exons: 3
Source: RefSeq, a predicted model, not a curated record